RNAcentral lists this ribosomal RNA (724 nucleotides) under uncultured bacterium. Its description in RNAcentral is "bacterial SSU rRNA". It matches the Rfam family "Bacterial small subunit ribosomal RNA", at positions 770 to 1501 of the family's 1533-position model. The record is from RNAcentral.
AAACAGAUUAAAUCCCUGGUAGUCCACGCCNUAAAGAUGUCAACUGGNUGUGGGUCUUCACUGACUCAGUACGAAGCUAACGCGUAAAGUUGACNGCNUGGGNAGUACGGCCGCAAGGUUAAACUCAAAGNAAUUGACGGGGACCCGCACAAGCGGUGGAUGAUGUGGUUUAAUUCGAUGCAACGCGAAAACCCUUACCCACCUUUGACAUGUACGGAAGAUCGCAGAGACGCGAUUGUGCUCGAAAGAGAGCCGUAACACAGGUGCUGCAUGGCUGUCGUCAGCUCGUGUCGUGAGAUGUUGGGUUAAGUCCCGCAACGAGCGCAACCCUUGCCAUUAGUUGCUACAUUCAGUUGGGCACUCUAAUGGGACUGCCGGUGACAAACCGGAGGAAGGUGGGGAUGACGUCAAGUCCUCAUGGCCCUUAUAGGUGGGGCUACACACGUCAUACAAUGGCUGGUACAAAGGGUUGCCAACCCGCGAGGGGGAGCUAAUCCCAUAAAGCCAGUCGUAGUCCGGAUCGUAGUCUGCAACUCGACUACGUGAAGUCGGAAUCGCUAGUAAUCGUGGAUCAGAAUGUCACGGUGAAUACGUUCCCGGGUCUUGUACACACCGCCCGUCACACCAUGGGAGCGGGUUCUGCCAGAAGUAGGUAGCCUAACCGUAAGGAGGGCGCUUACCACGGCAGGGUUCGUGACUGGGGUGAAGUCGUAACAAGGUAACC